Molecule: long non-coding RNA, 366 nt
Organism: Corticium candelabrum
Lineage: Eukaryota; Metazoa; Porifera; Homoscleromorpha; Homosclerophorida; Plakinidae
Exons: 3
Source: RefSeq, a predicted model, not a curated record
GAUGAGUCUAUUGGAGAAAGAUUAUAUUUCUUUGCGCAAUCCAAACCAUCUGCUAAUGGUAGCAAAAGACAAACAGCAGAUAACGAAGAUGCAACAAAGUCUCAACAAACGAAAGGAGCUUUUUUGUCUUCAGAGACGUUGAAAUCACAAAGAGGACUUUCUGGCUCUAAACCAAAAAGAAGAAGUAAGGAAAUAGCUGAACUACAACAGAAGCGACAAGAUGCGAUACAGCAAAGAGUCGAAAAGCACAACGUGCUCGAAAGCACAGAACGAGAACAACGAGCUCAGAAACGGAAACAAGAAGAGCAACUGGCCAAAGCAGCUGAAAAAUUGCAACACAAAGCGAAACCAUUAGCACAGGCACAA